This is a long non-coding RNA of Rana temporaria (common frog), 532 nucleotides long. RefSeq lists it as uncharacterized. The transcript has 3 exons. NCBI's taxonomy places the organism in Eukaryota, Metazoa, Chordata, Amphibia, Anura, Ranidae. The record is from RefSeq and is a predicted model, not a curated record.
AGCUCUGGUCGUUAGGGGGCGGAGAGAUGAGUUGUUAGGGGGGAUGCGGAGGUCAUGUGACGGCGGGGCAGGAAGUGGUUAGUCCGGAGAGGAGACCGGAACCCGGGAGAUUCAAGAUGAGGUGGGUGGAACCAGCAUGGACAUGACAAUGUCGCAGGGGGUGGAGCUUGGCCGGGAUUGGCUGGCUCUGCAGAGGGAGCUUCAGAUCUCUCAGGAUGCCCAGAAGAGACAGGCGGUGCUGGUGGAGAAGCUGCAGGCGAAGGUCCUCCAGUACCGGAAGCGCUACCAGGACCUGCAGCGGAGCCAAGAACUCGGCCAGGUGAGAAGCAAUGGAUAGAAGCGGCUUUCUAAGAAAUGCAUUGUGACCCUCUUAUUCAGCUGCACUGAGUGUACAGGAUCGAGCGCCGUGACGUUGUCCAAGCCCACCGCCCUUACGUGUUUCGUCACGGGCGUGUGACUUCAUCAGGGGGAUUUUACACUUCUUUUUUUUUUAUUAUAUUAUGGUUUUAUGUUUGCUUUAUUCUACGGUUCA